AAUGAACGCUGGCGGCAGGCCUAACACAUGCAAGUCGAACGAGAACGCACCUUCGGGUGUUAUUAUAGUGGCAAACGGGUGAGUAACACGUGGGAAUAUACCUUUCAGUUUGGAAUAACAGUUGGAAACGACUGCUAAUACCAAAUACGCUCUACGGAGGAAAGAUUUAUCGCUGAAAGAUUAGCCCGCGGUGGAUUAGCUAGUUGGUAAGGUAAUGGCUUACCAAGGCGACGAUCUAUAGCUGGUUUGAGAGGAUGAUCAGCCACACUGGAACUGAGACACGGUCCAGACUCCUACGGGAGGCAGCAGUGAGGAAUAUUGCGCAAUGGGGGAAACCCUGACGCAGCCAUGCCGCGUGAGUGAUGAAGGCCUUAGGGUUGUAAAGCUCUUUCAGAUAUGAAGAUUAUGACGGUAAUAUCAGAAGAAGCCCCGGCUAACUUCG
RNAcentral lists this ribosomal RNA (442 nucleotides) under uncultured Alphaproteobacteria bacterium. RNAcentral describes it as "bacterial SSU rRNA". It matches the Rfam family "Bacterial small subunit ribosomal RNA", at positions 29 to 505 of the family's 1533-position model. The record is from RNAcentral. Lineage: Bacteria; Pseudomonadati; Pseudomonadota; Alphaproteobacteria.